CUUUGUGCUGGCUGGGAGUGGUGUGUUGACUUUUCUUGGGUGCCCAUGGUUACAGUCCUGGUGCAGGGUGGUGCCAGUUUGACUGCUCAGCAGUGUCACCUCUGCCCGCCACACCCCUCCUCACCGGGGAGGGAGCUGGUAUUUAACAGGUGCCCGACAGCCCAGUUAGAGCCGUGCCAAGGACGGUGAUCAAGAGUGCUGCCAGCAUCGCCUCCUCUGGGACCUUUUGGGCAGGUUUGCUCACAGACCACUGAAGAUGUCUGACCACCACCACGGCAUGCCACAACCACACCAUCCAGGUUGCCCUCCUGGUCCUCCAGGACACCAUGGUCCCGGCACAGGUCCCAACCAUGGUGGCCCUGCUGUCUGUCCCCCACGCCCCCCUUCUCCUGGCCAUGGGCAUCCUCCCCAUGGGCACCACCCCCCAUCGGGACAUCACCCUCAUGGGCACCCCCAUCCAGGACCACCUCACGGCCAUUAGAAGCACCAUAAAGAGAAGCACUCCAAGCACCAUGGAGACAAGGUAAGAGUGAGGCAGUAAGAGACUCUUAUAAAUUUCUGCUGUGGUCCUUCAGGCCCCCUUCCCCCAUACCACAGCAUCCAGCCUGGACAGCUGGGACUCUCCUUUCCCACCCUGCGGUGGCUGGAGCGCGCUGCCAAAACCUCAGUGGCUUUUUUUUAGACAUGGAAACUCCUGUUGUAUUAAUAAAUAGGCAAGAACAAACCAUAUUAAGUGAGUAAUUUGAAAAACAGUCCAUGAAAUUCCUUGAAGGCUUUUAAAGCAUUGAUAU
Long non-coding RNA from Lepidothrix coronata (blue-crowned manakin), 791 nucleotides. RefSeq lists it as uncharacterized. The transcript has 3 exons. The record is from RefSeq and is a predicted model, not a curated record. NCBI's taxonomy places the organism in Eukaryota, Metazoa, Chordata, Aves, Passeriformes, Pipridae.